UGUUCCUGAUGGCCACAUUCCCCUGAUGCAUUACAUACUUGCAGCAAGCACCGUGUAAAUACAAACAGAAAUGACUCAGAACUUCAGUUGAUCGUUUUAAAGCUGCAGAUAGCCUGUAAGUAGCAGGGAAAUGCGCCACUUAAGCUUCAUUAACCCUGAUGACAGUAUGGGAGGCUGACCACAAACACACAAAAAGGUUAUAAGUUGAAGAAAUAAGACCAGUUUCCAAAUAAAUGACAAAGAGCUUGGUAUUCCUGCAGGCAUCAGAAUCACCUGGAGGAGGAGAUGCUGCUGCUGGUGGUGGCCCAGAGACCACACAUUGAGAACCACUGCUCUAGAAAACCAUUUGUCUUUGCUGAUGGAGAAACCUGGCUCUAAUAGAAGGUCCUCUGUGGACAGUGAGCUGGACUGACCUCACAACCCUCCAGUAUGUGCAGUGGCUGAGAAUGACCCACUCCCAGCAACUUUCUGCAGCCAAGGGGUUAAUCCUCCCUGAGCUGAAGCCUGACAUGGGGGCUUGUAUGUGUCCAGGAAGUCUAGUGAAUUCGACCAUGAAUCCAGACAUGGCCAGUGGCUAAAUCCUGUGGGAAGACACUGUGCUUCUCUCUGACCCAUGAACACUCUGCUAGUCAAGCUCUCUGUCACAAAGACAACUUGAAGAGACAGAGUGGACCUCACAGAAGAUACCAUCGUCACUCUUACCAAUGCAACUGUGGUGAACAGGACCACUAUUAUUCCUUAGAUCAAAAGGACAGCACAUUCAACAGCAUCCUCAUGGCAUGCCAGCAAUUUGCAUAGGAUGUUCACAAUUAAACUUUGAUUAUCUAGUGCUUUGUGGAUGUAUUAUGUAUUACAGAAAUCUAUUUGCAACAUGGAGG
This 878-nucleotide long non-coding RNA is filed under the name Homo sapiens (human). RNAcentral's name for it is "HSALNT0139250". Lineage: Eukaryota; Metazoa; Chordata; Mammalia; Primates; Hominidae. The record is from RNAcentral.